RNAcentral lists this long non-coding RNA (4194 nucleotides) under Salmo salar (Atlantic salmon). Its description in RNAcentral is "lncRNA (ENSSSAG00000099715.1)". Lineage: Eukaryota; Metazoa; Chordata; Actinopteri; Salmoniformes; Salmonidae. The record is from RNAcentral.
CCCCUGUCACAAGCGCUUCUUGUCGUCAGGCGUUCAUUGGCUCCACUGAGCUGGUUGCUAGGCAAUCCAGGCUGCAUUAAUAUGCGCGGUAGAAGGAGCAGGGGAAGCCUCUUCUCUCUGGAGCGUGGCAACUGCUAUGACAGCGUCAGCAUGGGUAGAAGACUGAAUCCCUCGCUCACAGCCCCUGCUCUUAUAGCCUUCCAGCGCACAUACUGUUCGGUAGACAGCAAGGGAAACACAGCCACUAGAGCAGAGUAACAAGACAAGGGUGGUUAGGUUGCUAACAAUUUACAGAGGGAAAUCCACUGUCUGAAAUCAGUUGAAGUUGUUGCUUGUUUGAAUAGUUUUUUUUUACCUUAAAAUUGAAAAGCCAGCUGAAACUGUUUCAAAUUUGCUAAGCCUCAUGAGCCAACGUUUGACAGUGUGAGUUAGUAUUUUAAAAAGAAAACUGUAUGUUAUAGUAUGUAUUUUAGGGUUGACGUGUACAGUACUCUGAUAUCAGAAAGAAGACUAAAGUCUUUGGUGGAAUCAACAGAGGUUUGCAAAGCAAAAAGAUGGGAGAUUGAAUUGUACACAUGAAACCACUUCCCUCAUCUGCUCAUCAUCUGACUCCCCUCUUCAACCUGACAUCAUCUCCCCAUCAGAAGAGGAGAGAAGAGCAGUACUGUUCCAGCUCUGGCUCGUCAAGGCUGAGGAGGAGAAACUGACGACAGCGCGAACUUGGUCACUAGUGAGAUGCAACUCGGGGAGGGAACACUCAACUGCCGCGGGGUACGACAUCUGAUGAAAGAAGCCCUCGAAUUGGACAGCCUGGAAGACGAGCCAGCCCUCUCCCUCAGAUCCCGUGCCCCCCCGCUGCCAAUGUAUGAAAGGGACCGACUUUUCCCUUAGUUGCCAGGGAUGUCUGUGCACUACAGAAAGGCGAAAAAUCCCUCCAGUAUGUCCAAUGCUAUGUUCUUCCUGAUGCUCUGCAAGACGCUGAACCCGACUAGGUGUAACUGGAGAGCCUGGAUGUGUUGUUCCAGACUGGUCUGAAAGGAAAACUGCAGACCAUUCCUGGAAAAAUGGUAAACACUGCCAUCUGUGAUGAAGAAAAAGGAAUUCAAGACAAGGAAGGUACAGAGGAGUCCAUACUGGCCAUGCUUGGGAUCAUCGGCACCAUUCUCAACAUGGUAGUGAUCAUCUUUGUCUACAUCUACACCACGCUGUGACUGUGAUAAAAAGCAACUAUUUUGCAUUGAACAGGCCUAUCGGGCCUACUGGAUGCAGCCAUGUUGUUUGGCUGGGAGUUGAGACUGUGCCGAGAUGGCACUGUGUCGUCGAUCGACUUUCCCAACUAUCAAAGGGAUCUAAGGCUGUGUGAUUACCGCAUUAAAUGUAACCUACAGCAGCGUCAUAGAGCGGCGCUGAAACUAUGUCUAUGGGAGACUGGCCCGUUCUUAUGGGACCUUUGUCCGGGGGUGUCAGUAUCAUACCUACUCUCUGAUGCUACUUUGACCUUUUAACCUGUAAAUAUGCAUGAGGCUAGCACGAGCCACGCUCUCAAGAUCCAGCUUUCUUUCACAGGUGCCAAGCCGAGGAGAAAGUAAAGAGACUGCAAUCUGGUGUAAAAUGAGCUUAAAGCACUGCAGCAGUCUUUUGAAAAAGCCUGAUAAACAUUUUGAUAUUAAAAGGGAUGAUACAGCAUACCUAGAGAGUGGACAGAUGACAUUCUGGAGAAAAGGCAUGGUUUGUGCGAUCCGCGAUCCUUUGUACGUCCAUACCUUAAACCCUAACCCUAACCUUAACCCCUACCCUUACACUUACCUUAAUCAUAACCCUUACCUAACCCUAACCUUAACACUUAACCAUUUUACAUUUCAACUUCAACGAGGUAGGGACGUCCCAAGGAUCUCUGAUUGCAAUGACCAAAAAGGCAUGUACAGUAUGAGUAAACGGAUCAUUUAGCCAAAACUGUUUUUACACAAGUACUAUCAUAUUGUAAAAGAAAAAGUUUUUACAGAAAAAGACUUUGAACUGAGUGUGUUUAGUGGGUAGGCAGUAGAAAUGUGUAAGUCAACCUGAGUGUACGCUAUUUAUUGCCGUGUUCUGAUUUCUAUUUUCAGGAAAGAAUAUUUUGAACCAUGUUACUUUACAUAAUUUGUUUACUGUAAGUACAGUAAUAGAAAAGGAGACAACCAUUUUUGGAAAUAUCUCUAUUUUGGCAGUAGCAAAAUGAGGAGGAAAUUUUCAAUUUCUAAGAGUUCUUGUUAGUGUUGUUGAGAUGCACUUUUUCAUGAGUAUCAAGAAACCAAGUGAAUGAAAUUAUGUUAAGUUUUGCUUUCUGGAGGUAGGUAGGUAUUUGGUGAAGUAGGGCGUAGCAUCAAAUAUGAUCACAAACAGGUGAUCUUCAUAAGACAUGAUAGAGUGUCAAAAUGUGCAUUUAAAAUGGUGAUAUGGGAAAUAAUACUAUUACAGUGUAAUCAAUCACUUUAUCUAAAUGUAUAAAGCUUUAACUGAGCUUCUGCGCUUCGAUUGAAGACUAUGUUUUGUGUUGUCCCCUCCUUCAGGACUGUGUCAAGUAAGUAAUCAAUGGUAAACUUCUGCAUAUUGAUUGUGUUGCCUUGAGAUAAUAUGUACAGUGAAUUUAAAAGCACAAUUUAGAAAUGACUAUUCACAGUACGUACGAAUGUAUGGGCAAAUGUGUGUAAAGUGUGUAUGCUGCAGCCUACAACCUCUUGUGAAUUUAAGAAAGUGCCUAAAUUCAAGUUCAGUAUCUCAAUCCCAUCGUUCAGAUCUCAAAGCAGAAGAGGACAACAUACAAGGGGAUCUAUCGGCAAGACAUGCCACACAGAGCAAAGUCUGUGAAAGUGCUUCAUGACUGUUUAACCUGCCCUAAUGGCUAUCUUCAGUACAACAUCUCUAGAACGCUGGUAACUAAUUACAGAUAAUCCUUGCUCAGUGUAUUAUGACACCCUCCAUCAUCUUUAUAUCUACUCUUGAUUUCCAUUAGGAGCCAUUAGAAAAGGUUCAAAAUUAGUCCCAAAGGUGACGUGUUCCUAUUCCAUUUACUCUUGAAUUGGCAGAGACUUGAAUGGGAACAGUAGUGGAGUAAGUACAUGGACAGGGUUGAGAAUGUACACCACCAUUCAAAAGUUUGGGGUCAAUUAGAAAUGUCCUUAUUUUUGAAAGAAAGACAACUUUUUUGUCCAUUAAAAUAACAUCAAAUUGAUCAGAAAUUUGGUGUAGACAUUGUUAAUGUUAUAAAUUACUAUUGAAGCUGGAAACCCCUGAUUUUUAAUGGAAUAUCUACAUAGGUGUACAGAGACCCAUUAUCAGCAACCAUCACUCCUGUGUUCCAAUGGCAUGUUGUGUUAGUUAAUCCAAGUUUAUAAUUUUACAAGGCUAAUUGAUCAUUACAAAACCCUUUUGUAAUUAUGUUAGCACAGUGGAAAACUGUUGUGCUGAUUUAAAGAAGCAAUUAAACUGGCCUUCUUUAGACUAGUUGAGUAUCUGGAGCAUCAGCAUUUGUGGGUUCGAUUACAGGCUCAAAAUGGCCAGAAACAAAUAACUUUCUUCUGAAACUCGUCAGUCUAUUCUUGUUCUGAGAAAUGAUGGCUAUUCCAUGUGAGAAAUUGCCAAGAAACUGAAGAUCUCAUACAACGUUGUGUACUACUCCCUUCACAGAACGGUGCACAACUGAGCAAAAGGACAUGUACAUUAGUGUCUAGUUUGAGAAACAGAUGCCUCACAAGUUCUCAACUGGCAGCUUCAUGAAAUAGUACCUGCAGUCCCAACGUCAACAGUGAAGACGUGACCCCGGGAUGCUGGCCUUCUAGGCAGAGUUGCUAAGAAAAAGCCAUAUCUCAGACACGCCAAUAAAAAGAAAAGAUUAAGAUGGGCAAACGAACACAGACACUGGAGAGAGGAACUCUGCCUAGAAGGCCCGCAUCCCGGAGUCGCCUCUUCCUUGUUGACAUUUAGACUGGUGUUUUGCGGGAUCUAUUUAAUGAAGCUGCUCAAUGUAUACAGUAAAGUGCUUGUUAGUCCAGGAGUCUUAAUCUGCGUCUGGGAAACUGUCCCGCAAAGCCCAUUACACAUAGUUUAAUGGGUAAUAUUGGAAGAAGUACUUUCAAUACUGGAAAAUUCCCGAACAUUCUCGGAUCUUAUCUUCCUUUUUUUUCAUGUCUAAGAUGCAGAGUUUUUUGUGUGCCG